UACGAAGGGGGCUAGCGUUGCUCGGAAUUACUGGGCGUAAAGCGCACGUAGGCGGCUUCUUAAGUCGGUGGUGAAAUCCUGGAGCUCAACUCCAGAACUGCCUUCGAUACUGGGAAGCUCGAGUCCGGGAGAGGUGAGAGGAACUGCGAGUGUAGAGGUGAAAUUCGUAGAUAUUCGCAAGAACACCAGUGGCGAAGGCGGCUCACUGGCCCGGUACUGACGCUGAGGUGCGAAAGCGUGGGGAGCAAACAGG
This 253-nucleotide ribosomal RNA is filed under the name uncultured bacterium. Its description in RNAcentral is "partial 16S ribosomal RNA". It matches the Rfam family "Bacterial small subunit ribosomal RNA", at positions 524 to 776 of the family's 1533-position model. The record is from RNAcentral.